This is a long non-coding RNA of Planococcus citri (citrus mealybug), 2095 nucleotides long. RefSeq lists it as uncharacterized. The record is from RefSeq and is a predicted model, not a curated record. The transcript is spliced from 3 exons. NCBI's taxonomy places the organism in Eukaryota, Metazoa, Arthropoda, Insecta, Hemiptera, Pseudococcidae.
AGCAUCCUGAGGGGGGAGAUUUUCAAAAUAUCAUUAAGUCAUAUGUGGGGGGGGGGUUAAAAAAACUUACAUACAAAAAAUUGAAAAAAAAAAUUAAUAUUUCAAAGACUUGAAAAAAAAAAUUUGGAGAUAUCAAAAAAAAAUUAAUCAGCUCUCAAAUCGUUUAUGUUGAUCUCUGUUCUAGAAAUUAUUAUGUCAUACAUAUUUAAAGCGUAUGGCAAUUCAUCGUAAUAAACGUAUACAUUGUAGUCUAGAAUUGACAGCAUCUUUUUAAUUAAUUUGAUGACGGUUUCGAUCGGAUCAUUCACUGAAAUCCGAAUUGGGCCAAUAGGCGCUAUGGUUACUUUCGACUCAUCCCAGCGGAAUCUACUUCCGCAAUAUACAAUUGGAAAUGUGUUUCUGUCAUGUAUAAAAAUGUCAACGAAUGCUGUCACACUUUUUUUUGCAAUAUUUGAGAUUUCAAAAAUUUGUACCAUCUGAAAAAAAAUUGAAUUAAUUAAUUUGUUCUACCAUGUAUAAGUAAUUUUACCAAGAUGUUGUGUUUCCAUGCUAUGCCAGAGAAAGAUAACAAAGUAUUUGCCUACACCUUGUAUGUAUUAUUGGUGCGUGAGGUUUUUCCAAAACAAAGUAACUGGAUAACUGGAGAAGGUAGAAAAAAUAUGGAAUUUUGCUAAAAGAUAAGAUUUGUUUCCAUAUCUGGAGGUUUGUCAAUGUCCAGUACGUACUUCUUAUGCUUGCUUGUUUGAGGUGUUCAAAGGUGUAUUGUGAACCAGAAAAAAAAAUCUUGAUUUUUAUCAGUUUUGUGUGUAAAAUUUUUGUGAAAAGUUGAUAUAUUUUUUUAUUUUAUUUUCUUAUUUUAUUCCUUUUUAAUUAAUUUGAGUUACAAUGGAUUCUCAGAACAAUGACUUUCUUGCUGGUAAGUGAAUUUUUGAUUCUAUUUUUAUCAUUAAAUUGGUGUAUAUUUUUUUUUCAAAAAAUUUUAGGGGGGGAAUAAAUUUGGAUCAUGAUUUUAGGCUAUUUGUGUUUGAUAAAAAAUUAUAGAAUUUCUCAAUUUUUCUAGGUUUAGAUGAAAUCAAUUUUGACAGUGAGGAAUUUCAGCCUGUAGACGUUAUCCAGGAGGUGACAAAUGCUGGACCACCAAAUGAGGUAUGUUUUUUGUUUUUUUAUUAAAUUUUUGAAAGAAUAAUUCACAUGAUGUCUGUGUUUUUUUUUUUUUUUUUUGAUUUUUGAGUUUUGAUAACUUUGGUUUUGUUUGUAGACAAGUUUAAAUGCUAUGAUCCUUGAGUUGGAAACACCAAGAAAUUCCACAGUGGAGCCCCAGAUGGAGACUCAGAUGGAGCCCCAAGCAGGACCAUCGAAUGUAAAUGUUGUACCAGAGCCUCAAAUUGUUGAACCACAAGCAACUGGAAAUCAUUUUGUUGAGGCUCCUAGGUUAAAUAGAACUGUUGAUCAAUUCAGAUUUCCACUACGACAUUCAUACUUGAAAGCUGAUGGUGUUACGAAGGGAUUCUUAACACAUAAUGACCCUAGGGCCAUGUGUGUUGAUUACGAAUUAGGCUUUAACAGCCCAUGUAUGUCUACACGGUGCUGGUUUUAUAAUAGCCACUUUUGGUCUAUUCAUGUAAGUUGGGAAAAAAAAAAUUUCAUCAUUUUUUUGUCUAAAAAAAAAAAAUCAUAUUUUUGACACUUUUUUGUAACAUUUUUUUUUUGUAUUUUCAGAAGGACUUAAUGGAAACAAUAAAAGUUCGGUUCGAAGGAGGUAUGGUGAAUAUUAAUGUAAUUCAGGUCCAUCCGCAGUUUAAGAUAUUAUUUCCCUUUACUUAUCAAAACUAUGUGGAUCUCAAAAGAAAUAUCAUUAGAUUUGGGCCAUCCUAUGAUGAAUGUUACUUAUGGUUACCUACGAGAUCACUGGAAACGUCACCAUUGAGGCACCGUUCAAACGUUUGAGUUGAUAUCAAGCAAGUCCGAAGAAAGAGUGAGAAAAAAAAAUUGUAAAAAGUAAUUUUAAUUAACCUGUAAAAAAAAAGGUAAAAUAUUAAUUUUUGUACAGUUAUUAGAUAUGUAUGUAUUUAAACUAAUUGUUUUUUUUUUGUUU